This 253-nucleotide ribosomal RNA is filed under the name uncultured bacterium. Its description in RNAcentral is "partial 16S ribosomal RNA". It matches the Rfam family "Bacterial small subunit ribosomal RNA", at positions 524 to 776 of the family's 1533-position model. The record is from RNAcentral.
UACGUAGGGUGCGAGCGUUAAUCGGAAUUACUGGGCGUAAAGCGUGCGCAGGCGGUUUUGUAAGCCAGAUGUGAAAGCCCCGGGCUUAACCUGGGAAUGGCAUUUGGGACUGCAAGGCUGGAGUGUGGCAGAGGAGACUGGAAUUCCUGGUGUAGCAGUGAAAUGCGUAGAUAUCAGGAGGAAUACCGAUGGCGAAGGCAGGUCUCUGGGCUAACACUGACGCUCAUGCACGAAAGCGUGGGGAGCAAGCAGG